This 74-nucleotide transfer RNA is filed under the name bacterium. Its description in RNAcentral is "tRNA-Pro". It matches the Rfam family "tRNA". From Rfam's summary of the family: Transfer RNA (tRNA) molecules are approximately 80 nucleotides in length. Their secondary structure includes four short double-helical elements and three loops (D, anti-codon, and T loops). Further hydrogen bonds mediate the characteristic L-shaped molecular structure. tRNAs have two regions of fundamental functional importance: the anti-codon, which is responsible for specific mRNA codon recognition, and the 3' end, to which the tRNAs corresponding amino acid is attached (by aminoacyl-tRNA synthetases). tRNAs cope with the degeneracy of the genetic code in two manners: having more than one tRNA (with a specific anti-codon) for a particular amino acid; and 'wobble' base-pairing, i.e. permitting non-standard base-pairing at the 3rd anti-codon position. The record is from RNAcentral.
CGGAGAGUAGUAUACUGGCAGUACGUCUGCUUUGGGAGCAGAUAGACCGGGUUCGAUUCCCGGCUCUCCGACCA